CGCCUCUUGACAAACUAUAAGAGGUCCAGCCUGCCCAGUGACUUAGUUCAACGGCCGCGGUAUCCUAACCGUGCGAAGGUAGCGUAAUCACUUGUUCUUUAAAUGAGGACUAGUAUGAAUGGCACCACGAGGGUUAUACUGUCUCCUUUUUUUGAUCAGUGAAACUAAUCCCCCCGUGAAGAAGCGGGGAUUUAUAUAUAAGACGAGAAGACCCUAUGGAGCUUUAAAUAAAAUGACAAUUGUUUCACCUAUUCUACUUCCAGAAGAAUUAUAAAAAGCAUAACACUAUGAUUACAAAUUUUAGACUGGGGUGAUCACGGAGUAAAAACCAACCUCCAUGCUGAAAGGUAUAAAUCCCUGAGCAAAAACCUACAACUUAAUGCACUAAAAAAUUAACACAAAUUGACCCAAUAUUUUGAUCAACGAACCAAGUUACCCUAGGGAUAACAGCGCAAUCCACUUUAAGAGCCCCUAUCGACAAGUGGGUUUACGACCUCGAUGUUGGAUCAGGGUACCCAAGUGGUGCAGCCGCUACUAACGGUUCGUUUGUUCAACGAUUAAAACCCU
This 567-nucleotide ribosomal RNA is filed under the name Boana jimenezi. Its description in RNAcentral is "partial large subunit ribosomal RNA". It matches the Rfam family "Bacterial large subunit ribosomal RNA", at positions 1829 to 2597 of the family's 2925-position model. The record is from RNAcentral. Lineage: Eukaryota; Metazoa; Chordata; Amphibia; Anura; Hylidae.